This 391-nucleotide unclassified non-coding RNA is filed under the name soil metagenome. RNAcentral describes it as "partial contains 5.8S ribosomal RNA, internal transcribed spacer 2, and large subunit ribosomal RNA". The stretch from base 1 to 122 matches the Rfam family "5.8S ribosomal RNA", at positions 35 to 154 of the family's 154-position model. The record is from RNAcentral.
GAUGAAGAACGCAGCGAAAUGCGAUACUUGGUGUGAAUUGCAGAAUCCCGUGAACCAUCGAGUCUUUGAACGCAAGUUGCGCCCGAAGCCAUUAGGCCGAGGGCACGCCUGCCUGGGCGUCACACGUCGUUGCCCCCCCAUCUACUCCUUCGGGAUUGCGGGGGGCGGAUGAUGGCCUCCCGUGCGCCUUGUCGCGCGGUUGGCAUAAAUGCCAAGUCCUCGGCGACGCACGCCACGACAAUCGGUGGUUGCGAAACCUCGGUUGCCCGUCGUGUGCGGUCGUCGCGCAUCGAGGGCUCGAAAAAAUUGCCGAGUUCCGGCUCGGCUUUCAACGCGACCCCAGGUCAGGCGGGGUUACCCGCUGAAUUUAAGCAUAUCAAUAAGCGGAGGA